UACAGAGGUCCCAAGCGUUGUUCGGAUUCAUUGGGCGUAAAGCGCGUGUAGGCGGCUAGGUAGGUCCGUUGUGAAAACUCGAGGCUCAACCUCGAGACGUCGAUGGAAACCAUCUAGCUAGAGUCCGGAAGAGGAGAGUGGAAUUCCUGGUGUAGCGGUGAAAUGCGCAGAUAUCAGGAAGAACACCCGUGGCGAAGGCGGCUCUCUGGUACGUGACUGACGCUGAGACGCGAAAGCGUGGGGAGCGAACAGG
Molecule: ribosomal RNA, 253 nt
Filed under: uncultured bacterium
Lineage: Bacteria
Description: partial 16S ribosomal RNA
Rfam family: Bacterial small subunit ribosomal RNA
Source: RNAcentral